GGCUCCAUGGUGUAAUGGUUAGCACUCUGGACUCUGAAUCCAGCGAUCCGAGUUCGAAUCUCGGUGGGGCCU
RNAcentral lists this transfer RNA (72 nucleotides) under Sarcoptes scabiei. RNAcentral describes it as "tRNA-Gln for anticodon CUG". It matches the Rfam family "tRNA". Rfam says of the family: Transfer RNA (tRNA) molecules are approximately 80 nucleotides in length. Their secondary structure includes four short double-helical elements and three loops (D, anti-codon, and T loops). Lineage: Eukaryota; Metazoa; Arthropoda; Arachnida; Sarcoptiformes; Sarcoptidae. The record is from Rfam by way of RNAcentral.